AGUUCUUUCCUCGGCAGCUCGCAGGAAACUCCUGUGGCAUCUUCAUGCUGAUGUAUGCUCUCUGUAUCUCCACAUCGACUCCACUGAUGUUCUCUGAGGAGGAAAUGCCAGCUGUACGAAAAUGGUGGUGCAUUCAGUU
This is a long non-coding RNA of Oryzias melastigma (Indian medaka), 139 nucleotides long. RefSeq lists it as uncharacterized. Lineage: Eukaryota; Metazoa; Chordata; Actinopteri; Beloniformes; Adrianichthyidae. The record is from RefSeq and is a predicted model, not a curated record. The transcript is spliced from 3 exons.